Long non-coding RNA from Mizuhopecten yessoensis (Yesso scallop), 556 nucleotides. RefSeq lists it as uncharacterized. Lineage: Eukaryota; Metazoa; Mollusca; Bivalvia; Pectinida; Pectinidae. The record is from RefSeq and is a predicted model, not a curated record. The transcript is spliced from 3 exons.
CCUGGAUAUUUCAUUCUGCCAAAGACAGGAAGCGGCGCGAGGAAAUCAGUUAUCGUUGGGUUAACAUCAGUGAAGUAAUGUCUGUUAAUGAGGAUUGUAAGGAAGUAAAGGGGAUAUGUGUUAUACAAACCUUGACUACCACGCCUGCUGCAAAUCAAGUCCGAGAUUCCUAAAUCCUACUAAGGUUACAGACAUAUAUGGAAAUGAACAACAAUAGGCUCCUGGACAGUAUUUCCCGACGGAAACAUGCGUCGAAUUUGGCGACUGCAAUAUGGGAUGUACAUGUACGCUGGCAGAUAACAUGUUCUACAGGAAAACCAUCGGAAACGAAUGGAUAUGGUUUCUGCUUGCAGCCUGUUGUAAAUGCUUAAAUCAACUUUGAGAAGCAUUACAGGACAUUUGUUUGUAGUGAAAAAAAAGAUAUAUAUGUGUACCUUUUUAAAUGCUUGAAAAUCCGAUACAUGACAAUAUAAAAACUAGUCAAUAGGGUCAAAUGGUUGUCCGAUACUAGACUGGCCUAUUAAUGUCACGUAAGCCUUUCAAGCUAAACAUUAAC